GAUGAACGCUGGCGGCAUGCCUAAUACAUGCAAGUCGAGCGAACGGACGAGAAGCUUGCUUCUCUGAUGUUAGCGGCGGACGGGUGAGUAACACGUGGAUAACCUACCUAUAAGACUGGGAUAACGUCGGGAAACCGGAGCUAAUACCGGAUAAUAUUUUGAACCGCAUGGUUCAAAAGUGAAAGACGGUCUUGCUGUCACUUAUAGAUGGAUCCGCGCUGCAUUAGCUAGUUGGUAAGGUAACGGCUUACCAAGGCAACGAUGCAUAGCCGACCUGAGAGGGUGAUCGGCCACACUGGAACUGAGACACGGUCCAGACUCCUACGGGAGGCAGCAGUAGGGAAUCUUGCGCAAUGGGCGAAAGCCUGACGGAGCAACGCCGCGUGAGUGACGAAGGUCUUCGGAUCGUAAAACUCUGUUAUUAGGGAAGAACAUAUGUGUAAGUAACUGUGCACAUCUUGACGGUACCUAAUCAGAAAGCCACGACUAACUACGUG
This 497-nucleotide ribosomal RNA is filed under the name uncultured bacterium. Its description in RNAcentral is "partial 16S ribosomal RNA". It matches the Rfam family "Bacterial small subunit ribosomal RNA", at positions 28 to 507 of the family's 1533-position model. The record is from RNAcentral.